RNAcentral lists this ribosomal RNA (253 nucleotides) under uncultured bacterium. RNAcentral's name for it is "partial 16S ribosomal RNA". It matches the Rfam family "Bacterial small subunit ribosomal RNA", at positions 524 to 776 of the family's 1533-position model. The record is from RNAcentral.
UACGUAGGUGGCAAGCGUUGUCCGGAUUUACUGGGCGUAAAGAGCGCGCAGGCGGCCGAGUAAGUCGAAUGUGAAAGCCCCCGGCUCAACUGGGGAAGGUCAUUCGAUACUGUUCGGCUCGAAGAUAGGAGAGGGAAGCGGAAUUUCAGGUGUAGUGGUGAAAUGCGUAGAUAUCGGGAGGAACACCAGUGGCGAAGGCGACUACCUGGCCUGUUCUUGACGCUGAGGCGCGAAAGCUAGGGUAGCAAACGGG